GGGGUUGACUGGAUUUGACAGCAGGAGGAGUGGUACGUAAGCACGCGGAGUCUCGAUGGCUUGCUCCUUAACUAAGCGAUCACAAAUUAAUUGGCGAAAACAACUACGCUCUCGCUGCCUAAUCGAAGUACAGUAGAUUACUGGCUUAAUCCCGCCACCAGGUGACGGGACGAGACAUCGCUCCAAGGAUGUUGUUCCGAAUCUGAGGAUCAAGCGGUGCAGGUAAAUCGGAAAUAGUCUGUCAAUGCCUCGAUUGACGGAUGAAAUUUUAGAGGAUAAGGCGUCGGUUGGUGGUCCAGGUCUUGCCGCCGCACGAAAACCACAGUCUGGAAUAAACGUGUAGAAAGCGUAUGGUUUCCCUGUUUGGACGCGGGUUCGACUCCCGCCAGCUCCAC
This 395-nucleotide transfer-messenger RNA is filed under the name uncultured Prevotella sp. It matches the Rfam family "transfer-messenger RNA". From Rfam's summary of the family: Bacterial tmRNA, also known as 10Sa RNA or SsrA, is named for its dual tRNA and mRNA-like properties. Its role is to liberate the mRNA from a stalled ribosome. To accomplish this part of the tmRNA is used as a reading frame that ends in a translation stop signal. The record is from RNAcentral. Lineage: Bacteria; Pseudomonadati; Bacteroidota; Bacteroidia; Bacteroidales; Prevotellaceae.